GUAGGGUGCGAGCGUUGUCCGGAUUUAUUGGGCGUAAAGGGCUCGUAGGUGGUUGAUCGCGUCGGAAGUGUAAUCUUGGGGCUUAACCCUGAGCGUGCUUUCGAUACGGGUUGACUUGAGGAAGGUAGGGGAGAAUGGAAUUCCUGGUGGAGCGGUGGAAUGCGCAGAUAUCAGGAGGAACACCAGUGGCGAAGGCGGUUCUCUGGGCCUUUCCUGACGCUGAGGAGCGAAAGCGUGGGGAGCGAACAGGCUUAGAUACCCUGGUAGUCCACGCUGUAAACGGUGGGUACUAGGUGUGGGGUCCCAUUCCCACGGUCCCGUGCGUAGCUAACGCUUUAAGUACCCCGCCUGGGAGUACGGCCGCAAGGCUA
This 371-nucleotide ribosomal RNA is filed under the name uncultured organism. RNAcentral describes it as "partial 16S ribosomal RNA". It matches the Rfam family "Bacterial small subunit ribosomal RNA", at positions 527 to 896 of the family's 1533-position model. The record is from RNAcentral.